Molecule: ribosomal RNA, 264 nt
Filed under: uncultured bacterium
Lineage: Bacteria
Description: partial 16S ribosomal RNA
Rfam family: Bacterial small subunit ribosomal RNA
Source: RNAcentral
GUCCUGGCAGUAAACGGUGCGCGUUUGGUGUGGGAGGAUUCGACCCCUUCUGUGCCGGAGCUAACGCGUUAAACGCGCCGCCUGGGGAGUACGGUCGCAAGAUUAAAACUAAAGAAAUUGACGGGGCCGCACAAGCGGUGGAGUAUGUGGCUUAAUUCGAUGCAACGCGAAGAACCUUACCUAGCCUUGACAUGCAUCUCUAAGUCGGUGAAAGCCGGCGACUGUAGCAAUACAGAAUUUGCACAGGUGCUGCAUGGCUGUCGU